RNAcentral lists this ribosomal RNA (252 nucleotides) under uncultured bacterium. RNAcentral describes it as "partial 16S ribosomal RNA". It matches the Rfam family "Bacterial small subunit ribosomal RNA", at positions 525 to 776 of the family's 1533-position model. The record is from RNAcentral.
ACGAACCGUACGAACGUUAUUCGGAAUCACUGGGCUUAAAGAGUGCGUAGGCGGCUUGGAAAGUUGGGUGUGAAAUCCCUCGGCUCAACCGAGGAAUUGCGCCCAAAACUUCCAGGCUUGAGGGAGGCAGAGGUAAGCGGAACUAAUGGUGGAGCGGUGAAAUGCGUUGAUAUCAUUAGGAACACCUGAGGCGAAAGCAGCUUACUGGGUCUCUUCUGACGCUGAGGCACGAAAGCUAGGGGAGCGAACGGG